GAAAUCUUAAAUUUUGAAGAUAUAUUAUAAUGUCUAAUAACUGUCUAGAAAAAAAAUCAACCGAAUCAGUUGAUUCAUAUUGAUUCACCAGAUUCACUGCUGAAUUGGAAGAUUUUGUCAUGAUUCAAGUAUAUUUGCGAUUCACCCUUUAGAUUUUAAUUGCUAGGUUGGGAAAUCAAAUUGAAUCAUACUAUUCAAAUUGAGAAUCGUAAUUUGUAA
Molecule: unclassified non-coding RNA, 219 nt
Filed under: Hevea brasiliensis (rubber tree)
Lineage: Eukaryota; Viridiplantae; Streptophyta; Magnoliopsida; Malpighiales; Euphorbiaceae
Source: RNAcentral